AUUGAACGCUGGCGGCAGGCCUAACACAUGCAAGUCGAACGGUAACAGGAACAAGCUUGCUGCUUCGCUGACGAGUGGCGGACGGGUGAGUAAUGUCUGGGAAAGUGCCUGAUGGAGGGGGAUAACUACUGGAAACGGUAGCUAAUACCGCAUAACGUCGCAAGACCAAAGAGGGGGACCUUCGGGCCUCUUGCCAUCGGAUGUGCCCAGAUGGGAUUAGCUAGUAGGUGGGGUAACGGCUCACCUAGGCGACGAUCCCUAGCUGGUCUGAGAGGAUGACCAGCCACACUGGAACUGAGACACGGUCCAGACUCCUACGGGAGGCAGCAGUGGGGAAUAUUGCACAAUGGGCGCAAGCCUGAUGCAGCCAUGCCGCGUGUAUGAAGAAGGCCUUCGGGUUGUAAAGUACUUUCAGCGGGGAG
Molecule: ribosomal RNA, 422 nt
Filed under: uncultured bacterium
Lineage: Bacteria
Description: bacterial SSU rRNA
Rfam family: Bacterial small subunit ribosomal RNA
Source: RNAcentral